RNAcentral lists this ribosomal RNA (405 nucleotides) under Helix buchi. RNAcentral's name for it is "partial 16S ribosomal RNA". It matches the Rfam family "Archaeal large subunit ribosomal RNA", at positions 1921 to 2670 of the family's 2987-position model. The record is from RNAcentral. Lineage: Eukaryota; Metazoa; Mollusca; Gastropoda; Stylommatophora; Helicidae.
AGCUGUAUGAAUUAAUAUAUAGUUAUUUCUGCUCAAUGACAUUAAAUAGCCGCAGUACCCUGACUGUGCAAAGGUAGCAUAAUCAAUUGGCUUUUAAUUGGAGUCUAGUAUGAAUGAAAAUAUGGAUAGUAACUGUCUUAGUAUAUUUGUUGGAAAUUAUUAAGUGAGUGCAAAUGCUUACCGAGAUAAAAAAGACGAGAAGACCCUAGAAACUUGAUAAAGGUUUUGUUGGGGCGACAAAAUUACAGUUAACUAAUUUUUCGUAACAAGAUGCGAAGAGGAAAGAAUAAGUUACUCUAGGGAUAACAGCACAAUUUUAAUAGUUUGUGACCUCGAUGUUGGACUAGGUAUUAUAAUCUUAAGACAAGAUUAUAAAGCGCUCUGUUCGAGCAGUUCCACCUACAU